Molecule: ribosomal RNA, 489 nt
Filed under: uncultured bacterium
Lineage: Bacteria
Description: bacterial SSU rRNA
Rfam family: Bacterial small subunit ribosomal RNA
Source: RNAcentral
GGCUCAGAUUGAACGCUGGCGGCAUGCCUUACACAUGCAAGUCGAACGGCAGCACGGGGCAACCUGGUGGCGAGUGGCGAACGGGUGAGUAAUGCAUCGGAACGUGCCAUUGAGUGGGGGAUAACGUAGCGAAAGUUGCGCUAAUACCGCAUAUUCUGUGAGCAGGAAAGCAGGGGACCGCAAGGCCUUGCGCUCUUUGAGCGGCCGAUGUCAGAUUAGCUAGUUGGUGAGGUAACGGCUUACCAAGGCGACGAUCUGUAGCGGGUCUGAGAGGAUGAUCCGCCACACUGGAACUGAGACACGGUCCAGACUCCUACGGGAGGCUGCAGUGGGGAAUUUUGGACAAUGGGCGCAAGCCUGAUCCAGCCAUGCCGCGUGAGUGAAGAAGGCCUUCGGGUUGUAAAGCUCUUUCGGCCGGGAAGAAAUCGCAUGGGUUAAUACCCUGUGUGGAUGACGGUACCGGAAUAAGAAGCACCGGCUAACUACGUG